RNAcentral lists this ribosomal RNA (890 nucleotides) under uncultured bacterium. RNAcentral describes it as "bacterial SSU rRNA". It matches the Rfam family "Bacterial small subunit ribosomal RNA", at positions 17 to 906 of the family's 1533-position model. The record is from RNAcentral.
UUCUGGCUCAGGAUGAACGCUAGCGGCAGGCUUAAUACAUGCAAGUCGAGGGGCAGCAGGGAUAGCAAUAUUCGCUGGCGACCGGCGCACGGGUGCGUAACACGUAUACAAUCUGCCUUUAACAGGGGGAUAGCCUUUCGAAAGAGAGAUUAAUACCCCAUAAUAGUUUGCUCGGCAUCGAGUGGAUUUGAAAGCUCCGGCGGUUAGAGAUGAGUAUGCGUCUGAUUAGCUAGUAGGUGAGGUAACGGCUCACCUAGGCCACGAUCAGUAGGGGAUCUGAGAGGACUACCCCCCACACGGAUACUGAGACACGGAUCCGACUCCUACGGGAGGCAGCAGUAAAGAAUAUUGGACAAUGCCCGCAAGGGUGAUCCAGCCGUGCCGCGUGCAGGAAGACGGCCCUAUGGGUUGUAAACUGCUUUUACACCGGAGAAAACCUCCCCUCGUGAGGGGAGCUGAUAGUAUGGUGAGAAUAAGCAUCGGCUAACUUCGUGCCAGCAGCCGCGGUAAGACGAAGGAUGCAAGCGUUAUCCGGAUUCAUUGGGUUUAAAGGGAGCGUAGGCGGCCUUAUAAGUCAGUGGUGAAAUCUCCGAGCUUAACUCGGAAAUUGCCAUUGAUACUGUAGGGCUUGAGUACAGUUGCUGUGGGCGGAAUAUGACAUGUAGUGGUGAAAUACAUAGAGAUGUCAUAGAACACCGAUUGCGAAGGCAGCUCACAAAACUGUAACUGACGCUGAGGCUCGAAAGUGCGGGGAUCAAACAGGAUUAGAUACCCUGGUAGUCCGCACUGUAAACGAUGAUUACUCGCUGCUAGAGGGCAACUUUUAGUGGCUUAGCGAAAGCGAUAAGUAAUCCACCUGGGGAGUACGCCGGCAACGGUGAAACUUAAAG